Molecule: small nuclear RNA, 103 nt
Organism: Sciurus carolinensis (gray squirrel)
Lineage: Eukaryota; Metazoa; Chordata; Mammalia; Rodentia; Sciuridae
Source: RefSeq, a predicted model, not a curated record
UCACUUCAGCAGUGCAUAUACUUAAAUUGGAAUGAUACAUUGAAGAUUAGCAUGGCCCCUGCACAAGGAUGAUAGGCAAAUUUGUGAAGCAUUCUAUAUUUUU